Cavia porcellus (domestic guinea pig) is the source of this 22218-nucleotide long non-coding RNA. RefSeq lists it as uncharacterized. The transcript is spliced from 4 exons. The record is from RefSeq and is a predicted model, not a curated record. Lineage: Eukaryota; Metazoa; Chordata; Mammalia; Rodentia; Caviidae.
GAGAGAGAGAGAGAGAGAGACUAUGUAUUUCUCUGUUUCUGUGGAGCCUCUUGCUCAACCCAGGGCCAAGUCAUAUCUGCAGAGAGCAAGAAGGCAGCACAGACCUGCAGAGGAGAGGCUGGUUGGGUUGGUGCAGCUUUCCUGGCACUCCAGGUGGGAUGGCAACCUGUGCCGAGGAAGGCUCCUUUCCAUGGCGAAGCUAUCUGUGUGCAAAGCUGCAAACGGGUGAUGACAGAGGCAGGUCACAAAAAGACAGAAUCCCAGGGCUCAGCCCCAAGUCAGGCACAGAAGCCAAGACUUUCAUUGAGAAGCCUGGCCAUGCUGAGUGAGGAGGGCAGCACAGAAGGACUGGGCCUGGCCUUAGGUGGCCUUAGAAGACUUAAUCAAACCAGGGCAGUGGACCCAGAUUCCGGGGCAGUGUGCCAUGGAGAAGGUCAGAAGCGGUCUUUUUAAAAGCAGGGCCAUACUGGAUAGAAGGGGGAAGAGGAAAUGACAUGACUGUGGCUCUGGUGGCGGGGACCUGGCCAGUCUGCAGAGUGACCCAGAGGAUCCUGGUGACAAAGGGAAAUGCUAGUGUGGUGAAGCAGAAUCAAACAAAGGACUAAUACGGACUCUGGGCCUGAAUGCGAGUCCUGAGUGCUCCUGUUCGCCUCUCAGCGAGGGCCCAUCAUGUAACCCUUGCCUCAGUCUCUUCUCCGUGGCAGUGGAACCACCCUGUGGCACCACCCUGAGGGUUGUAGGUGCAGGGAAAGGAAGUUCCUUUCAGAGUGACCUUUGUCACUGCCGGGACUGUGGGACCAGCCAGGGGCACCUUUCCUCUCAUUUGACCUGACCUAGUUCUAGUUAGGAAGUAUUUAGAUUUCUCACAGAGAACGCCACACCACCCUUAUAUUCCUUUUUUUUUUAAUAUUAAAACAAUCCUUUUAAAGUGACAUCUCAUGUCUCAAGUUAUAAACUGAGACACAGAGAGGAGAAGCCUGGAAGCCUGCAUUGGACUGACAGACUCAGGGAUUUUGCGGCCGAAUGAGAUCCCAAGGAUCUGUGAUGGGCAGCUGCUCUGCACUCGAACAGGGUAUCAGACUGAGCAGCCUGGGAUGGGUCUGGGGUCUUAGUUGUUUCCAAUUCUCUGGGGUCUACCAACUUCAGUGGCUCAGGGCCCGCACCCAGGUGCCUUGGCCAGUGCACCCCUUCUUUCUCAUGACACAGGGCCUCCUUCACAAUGAGCCUGGCUGAACUCCUGCUCCAGGCUCAUUCUGGCAACACCCUACUCUUGCCACAGGCCGCCAUGGCUAGGUCUGGGCCGGGGAGCCACCUGCAUGCCAGAUAGCACGGGUCUGAGGGCUUGCAGAUAUGCAAACACUGGGCUCUGGGCCUGCGCUCCUUGUCUCCCUCCCCGUGGUCAGGUGCUGGAUCUCCCGCCACCCUGGGAAAUCUCGGCAGGGUUUGCUUGGCUGCCCUCUUCCUCCAUCCUUCUGUUUCCAGCCCUGAUCUCUUCCUCUCCCAUGAGCCUCCUUGUCUCUGCAUCCCUGGGGCUGUCUUGCUGUCUCCCAGUCUUCUGUCUGAUCUCACUGCACCAAGGUCCCCGGCAGCCUGGCUGCCAAAGCGGAGCUGGGAGGCAGUGACUAGUGUGCUCGGAGGUGAGUCAUCUGUUAAAUAUAAAACCCACUCACAUCCCUGGAUGCAGAAGACUCCAAGACUCCGCGUCCUUCCCCAACUCCAUCCUUCCUCCCUCCAGGGCUGGAGAAGUUCACUCAGCAACACAAAACAAGGCAGGCAGCAUCCCCUGAUCCCUCCCGUUGCUCUGGGAGGAAGGAGUUUAGCGAGGCACAAGAGUCUUGCGAGCCCCACUGUUCCAGAAGUAGUUGGAGGUGAAACCUGUCUUUAGGACUCUUCUUCCUGUUUCUACCCACUUCUCGUUCAGGGAACCCUAAAAAGCCCAUGUUUGUGCAAAGGACACAGCUUUGUAAACACGGGGAGACUAGCAGCACCACACAGGGCUCCAGCUCCAGUGACUGACGAAUGGGCCUCAGGUGCCUGGCUGCUGCUGGACAGGUGCCCUCCCUGGGUGACCAUGGGUUCCUUCUACAUAGCCAGCUACGUAUACCCGUACACCCAUACACACAUCAUAUAAGGAGUGAUCUAAAAAUAUGAUGAAUGCUUAAAUUAAAAAAAUUACAGUAAAAGACAUGCUGCCAUUGUUCCCCCUCAAAAUCCCCCUUCACCCUUAGAACACACUUGCCCCAAUGAUCUCAUUGCUUCCUGAAGCAGUUCUGGAAAUGUGCGAUCAGAAAUAUAGCAAAUAGUUUUGCUCAGUACUGUCAGGCUUGCAAAGCAUAUGGUCCAUCCCCAUCUACUCUGUUCAUCAGUUACGGCACCAGGCAGCUUCUGGUUCUUCUGCAGAGUCUAAAUGGUCACGAAAGGCAAAGGUUUGCAGUUGAUUCAGGACACUGAGGCAGCACAGCUGAAGGCUCUGGUGUGUGUGCCUGUGUACACUCCGGUACACACUGUCCUCUACAUGCUUCAUGCUUGACAUUUACCUGGAGCUGGUUACUUUGGGUCCUGGUUUCUUUGUGUUCACUGCCUUGUGUGUGUCCACUUUUGUUCAUCUUGCGAGAUGGGUCUUUUCAUCCCUCUCAGUACACUGAUGAGAAAAAACAAAAUUCAGAAAGUUGAAAACAGUUGUCCAAAUAUACACUGCGACACUUUGUCAGCACCAAAAUUAGAGCCCAGCCUAUAUCUUUUACCUCGGGCUAAACUAAUAAAUCUCUGACUUUUUGUGGUGGCAAGUGAUAAGAUUUGAUGUCACAGUGAGGGUACAUGUGCAUGUAUAUAUAUGUACAUAUAUGUGUAUGAAUAUACACAUGUGCAUACACAUGGAACAUGUUUUGGGAAAUAGCAUGUACUAUGACUACCUUGCAAGUGUAUAUAUUCUAUUUGACUCUUUCCAUUCCAAUUUUACUUUCAAGCUCACAGUGUUCAACAAGUUUGUGAUCCUCCAUAGGUCAUUAUCUGCAGCGUGAAAAUGCCCGAAUAACUCCCCCAACACUGGACUGAUCACUUCAGCAGGCACUGUGUGCAAAGCUGAGGCCUGAGUUGAAGAGGAAUGAACUUCCUCCGUCUUCACUUCUCUGGGCUUCAUUUCCCUAACAUCUGCUUGUAAUGUAUUCUGUUUUUAAUGAUGAAAUAAACAGAGGCCCAGCAAUCCCUUCCUACAAGCACCAAGAGUCUUUUGCUUACCUGGGAGGUCAUCUGAAGCUCUCUGCCUGUGGAGACUUAAACAUGGGGCUCCCAGCCAUCUCCCAGGUGACACACUUGGGUGCAUGUGUGCUGUAGGGAAAACCUGACCCAGGGCCUCACAAGAACACACUGGACCACUGCAGCCUGGAGUGUAACGAAAGUACCAUGUCCACCUUUGGGGGACUUGAUGGGACAUAACAUAACCAUUGCCUUAUGUCAAAUAUUAAUUGAUUUCUCUCCCCAUCUUUUGAUUUGUCUGCUUCUUUGUAUUUUUCCUUUCUCGAGCUUUUGGAAGGCAGAAGAGAGGCUGUUUUAUGGAAGUUUGGUGGUGCGAGGACAGAAAGAGACAGAGAGGACCUAAUACAUCAGAAAGUGUGUCUGAACCCAACAGGACUAGAUUCUGGUCACUGCUGGGUUAUUGCGAGGCUGUGUGGAUUGAGACCUGGCACCUUCCCUGACUGGACAUAUGCUGGACAAGAGGGACCUGGAUAAAGUCUUCUCACUCAAACACUCUACAGUAUGAGGCAGGGAAGAGGAAGAAGCAGGCCUUGGGUCCUGAUAGAAUGGUCACCCUAAGAAAUCCCCCAACAUGAGAACCCCUCAUUUUGAAGAAGUUGAGUAAUCUUGCCUUUCUUCCUUUGGCUUAUUCACAGUGUGUUUGUCCACUUGCAAUGAGUUCCAGACUUCCAAAAGGGGUCUUGUGCAGGGUGGGGUCAUUUGUGAGUGAUUUGCACACCAGAGCUAAGAUUCACAAAAUUAUCAGGGGUCACAUGAGCAUUUCCUAAUGCCAUAGAUGAGGCUCAAAAGGAGGCACAUGUUGUUUGGGUGCCCAUCACUUGCACAGAUAUAUGGGGUGGUCUGCCCUUGGGGACUGGAUGGGGUGACUGCCAGACCUUCUGUUUGACUUUAGCAUGUUGUGGGGAGGAGGGAUAUGGCUGGUUUGUCUCUCUCAACUGCCAUGUAUCCCAGAGGCACACUUGGAACCUGGUUGUAUCAGUCAGCUUUUCGUUGCUGUAAUGAAUCACCUGAGGCAGGACAAUUUUAUAAGCAAAUGAAGUCUAUUCAGCUCACUUUUGGAGCCUGAUAGUUCAGAUAGGAGGAUACAGGUUCUGGUGAUGGUCUUGUGGUGGAUGGCAGAAGUGUGUGGGGACUGAGGAGCACAUCUCAAAUCAGAGGGCAGACAGAGGCUGCAUGGGGUCAGGCUGAGGCUUUCAUAACAAUCUUUUCCUGACAACUGGCCAGGGUCCUUGAGAAGCACUUUAGUCCUUUGGAAAAUGUGGCCCCCAGUUGACCUAGGGACCUCCCACCAAGUGCCACCUCUUAAGUGUUCCUAGCGCCUCAUAGCCUGUCACCUUAGUGACCACUCCUCACACAGGAACUGGGGGAGAGGGGCAGCAGCAGGCAGAACCCACACUGUAGCACCUGCCCUGCAGAACUGUUCCCAGGUAGGAGAUUGGAGAGGGGAUGCAAGGCCCACACACCUGCCUGAGGAUGGCAUGGUGUGGCCCUGCCCUUCCCCUCACCUCUCUUCAAGGGCUGCUCAGUGGAUUCAGUCUGGGUCCCUCUGCCCAGGAGUCAAGCAUCCUGGUAGUGGUCUAGAGCUGCAGGGCACACAAGACACACUCCACUUACCUGUGUCUAGCCUCUUCCUCCCCUCCUGGAAGCUCCAUCAGAAGUCUCCUGGGGCUUAGUUUUCUAACUGGCUGCUGAGUGAGUGUCCUGAAAGGACCUAUGUGUGUCACCUUGAUUCCCACCCAGGGAGCAGACUGAGGCCUUUGGUGAGCUCAGCCUCUGAGAACAGAGGACAGACAGCCUGCUGUCAUGGAGCCUCAAGCCUCAGCAGCUCUUGGUACUCUCCGAUUUGCAUUCCCUUCCUCGCCUCCCUGCAGCAGGAGCUGCUGCCCCCAGCAGGUCUGAGGAUUCUCUGGCUCCCCUUGCAGUCAAAAUACCUGCACUUCUGGAGGCUCUUGAAAACUCCCUUGUCAAAAAUAAGCAAGCAUGCUAGAAGUCCUCUCUCCCAGCCAGCAUUUACUGAGUACCUACUAUGUGCCAGCGACUUCCCCCAUCCUUAAAAGGCAUUGCCACCUGCAGCUGGGCUCAGCUACAUAAAUGGGGUGGGGGUGGGAUACCUGGGUGGACCUCUCUGGCUGACCCACACUGCAUGACCAAACCCCCAUGCAUCAUUACUUAGGGAGACCACUGCUGUGAGUUCCAUCGUCAUCAGCAGAACACUCUGGGAACUUCACGUGCCCUCAAAGGAGGAGCACAGGCCUCAGGCUUCCCUGUAUUAGCAGCGAAAGGAGCUGUGUUGACCAGAGCCCCAUGCAGAACAGACACAGCAGAUAAAGAAACAAGGUGGCAUCUUCUCAGGAGAAGCUUCUGCAGCUCCAGGGAACAUGGGUCUGUCCUGGUCUGGCUCAAGUUGGGCUCUGGGGAGGAGCAGUGGGCACAGGCACAGGGGGCUCUGGGAUCUCUCAUGGGUACACAAAUAGGUCCUAGCUCCAGAGACAGCAGCAGAUAAGUAAAGAUUCAACGGCCUGCAAUACCCUGUUGUCUUCUCCCGCAAUGGGAAGGGGAGACUUUGCCUUGGCCAGCCUCAUCCUACCACUGAGGUCCUAGCUCCAAAGAGGAAGGAAAGUGUCCAGCUGGGACCCUCCUGUCACAAUUGUCUACACUGGCUUUCUGCUCUUGCCACCAUGGGUUGAGCCACUGUCAUUCGCAGAUGUCCUCUGUCCCCACUGACUAUUGUGCCCAGCGUGGCACUAUGUGCAGGUCAGUCUGUUCCACUGGCUUGACUCAAAAAUGAGUCAGGGGCUGGGAGGACAGAGGAAAGCAAAGAACCUACGACUUGCUCCCUCGAAACCAGUGUCAGCCCCUCUCAAAUCUGCACAAGGAGAAGCAGAAGGCUCCAUUCCUGCUUAGACCUGCAGUUUUGCCUUCUUCCUUUCCCUUCUCUGGUCUUUGCCCUCAAGGGCCAGGGGAAGCAGGCUAAUUUGCAUGUCCAAGAGCUGACAAGAGAGGGGAGGUCACUACCAUCCAUCCACAGAGGAGGAGCCAGAGGAAAGAGAAGCCACAGGGACACAAAAAUUCCAGAGCCUGUGAGGUCCUCUAGGAAUUGGGAUGGUGGAUAACAAGUGUAGCUGAGACCUCUUGGCCUCUGGUCAUGAUGGCCCAACCUGGUCUACCCUCCAUCCGGGGCCUGGGUGGGACCCUUCUCCUGCCCACCUGCCCUUGGUUCCUCACCCCUUAAUGGGACUAAGCCUCACGAGUUGACUGGGAUGAGGAAUGUUGGGGCAUCAGUCGAGUUCUUUGCAUGUGUGUUUGCCCUCUAGAAUUCUAUUACCUUCUCCCCACCAGAAGUUUCUCAUUUCUAAAACCUCAGCUUCUUUAUGAAUGCAUACUAAAAACUGUGAAGCCAAUCUCUCCUGUGUUGGAAGUACAGUUUGGUCACCGAUCAGUGGUGUGACCAUCGGAAAACUAAUUAAUCACUCUGACCCUGGGUCUACUGGUGUGAAAUGUGGAAUAAUAACACUCUUGUCCUCCAUCAAGGUGGCUGGAGAGUCAGCUAGGGGAGACAAGGACUCACAUAGCCAGGACAAGCUGGCCAGCUUAUGGCCACCCUUCUCUUCUGUUUCCCCUCCCCAGCAUAUUUCUAACAAUGGAGAUGUCCUCUACUUUGAGGAGUGACGCUGCCCAGGGUCCCAGCAAGGAGAGGGGCAUGGACCAUUACUGAAGGGACUGCAGACUCCAGAAUUAUCUCUUGCACACAGAGUUGAAGACACAGGACUCUUACCUUGCCCCUUUUCUCCAUUCAGCAUCUCUGUGUGACCUCUGAACUGGAUCUGCACAGAGCCCUGUAGUAUUUGGUUCAGGCCUGUGCCCAAGGUGACUUUGGAGCCUGGGGGCAGAUAGGCCUGGUGCUGAGUGCAUGAGCUGUGCCUGCCCUCUAGUGGCAAGAAAGGGAAAAGCAUACGCUUGCAGGCCUGCGAUGAGCAGAUCUGCAAGCCUGAGAAAUGGUGGGUGUCCUGGCCUUUGGAGCCAAGCUGCACCACACAGCACAGAUCCAAGUUUGAUCACCAAAUACUUAAACACAAGGCCUUAGAUUUGGAGUUUCACUCUCUCUUCAUUUGUUCAUUCAAAGAAAUAUUUAUCGAGUGCGUGCCACAGCAUGAUCCAGACAGCAAGUGAAGACUGGUAUCCGUAUGGUGAUGAUUGUAACUCUCCAGAACUCUGUUCCUGCACUGCAGCGUGAAUCCUAACAAUCAUGCAUGCACAGAAAUACCUUCCCAAGAGCUAAGAAGCUAGGUGAGAAGUGACAGGACUUGGACAGGGAAAGAUGCAUUGAGGGGGUGGAGGGAUGUGUCAUCCCUCCCUUCCGCCUUGCUGUGCAUCACAGACACCCAGGGGUAGGUAGCAAAUCGACCUCUGAAUCUCACUGCACUCUGGAACCAGGCCUGACCUGGUGGGAUGGACAGAUUUCGACAAGUAAGAUCCAACGGUUGGCUGCACGCAGGAGACUCCCGUGGGUCUUAUGACAUUCAUGGGCUGGAAGGACAGGGAAAUAGAAAGGUAUUCAAGCUGACAGCAACCAAAACAGAAUAGGCAUCCUCUUAGUUAUGUUGGAGAAAAUAAACUUUAAGACAAAAACUGUAACAAGAGAUAAAAGGUUGUCAUGUAAUGAAAUGUAAUGAUAAAGGGAUUCAUUUUUCAAGAAGAAAAAUCAACAUUACAUGACCAACAUGGAACAUCUAAAUAUAUAAGAAUAUAUUAGUAAGAUCUGAAGUGAGAUAUAAAUAGCAACAGAAUAACAGGAGGAGACUUUAGUUCCCCACAUUCGGGAAUGGACAGAGCAUCCAGGCAGAAAAUCAGGAAGCAAAGAGCAGGCUGAGCACUGUAGAUCAAAUGAUCCGACAUGGACAGAAUUAAUAUUGUUAAAAAUGCCCAUAUUACCCAAAGUAAUCUACAGUUCCAAAAUAAUCCCUAUGGAAAUUCCAAUGACCAAAAAACCCCUAAAAAUUCUAUGGAAUCUCAAAGGGCCUCAAAUAUUUAAAAUAAGCAUAAACAAGAAGAAUAAAGUAGGGGGCACCACGUACCUGAUUUUAAAAUAUUCUGUAAAGCUGUAGUAAUUAAAAGUAUGGCACUGGCCUAAAAGCAGGCAUAGAGAGCAAUGAGAAAGAAUAGAACGUUCAGAAAUAAAUCCUCACAUUUAGGUUAAAAAUGCACUAAGGACACUCAAUGGGAAAUAACUUGAUUUUUUAAUAAAUUUGUAUUAAAAAAACUAAAUUCUCAUAAGCAGAAAAAUGAAGCUGGAACUUAAUCCUCUACCACGUACAAAAUUACACUCAAAAUGGAUUAAAGACUUAAGUGCAUGCGUACCAGAAAUUGUAAAAUUACUAGAAGAAAAUAGGAAGGGAGACCUUCUUGACUUUGAUCUGAGCAAUUAAUUUUUUGUAUGACUCCAAAAGCACGAGCAAAAAAAGCAAAAACAGAAAAAUGGGAUUGUAUAGAGCUCACAAAGAUUCUUCCCAGCAAAGAAGCAAUGCGCAGAGUGAAAGACACAGCCUACAAAAUAAGAAAAUAUAUUUCUAAACACACAUCUGGUAGGGGUUGGUAUCUCAAAUAUAGAGGGAAAGCAAAUAGUUCAGUGGUAAGGAAACGCAUAACCUGGUUAUAAAAUGAGUAAAGGACCCAAAUAGAUGUUUCUCAAAAGAAAACAAACAAAUGGCUAAGAGAUGCACAAAAAUGCUUAACAUCCCUAAUUAUCAGAGAAAUGCUAAUGAAAACACAAGCAGUUCUCACCUAACAUCUGCUAAAUGGUUAUCCAAAAGACAGAAGAUAACAAGUGUUGGAUAGACAUGAGAGAAGGGCGCUCUUAUGCACUGCUGGAAUGAUAUAACCCUCGUGCUGAAGAGUAUGGAGGUUCCUCAGUAUUCAAAAAUAAACCGGGCCUGGUGGCACAUGCCUGUAUUCUCAGCACUUGGGAGGCUGAGGCAGGGGCAUUAUAAGUUCAAGGCCAGUCUAAACUACAUAUGAAGACCCUGCCUCUGAACAGACAGACAACAAACAGACAAAUAAAUCAAAUCAUAGAUCUAACAAUCCCACUUUUGGGUAUACAUCCAAAAGAAAUGACAUCAGUACUCUUGAUGAGCUAUGUGUACUCAUCGGGUCAUUGCAGUAUUUUCCACAAAAACCAAAGAUUCAGACUCAACCCCAGUGUCCAUCAACAGAGGAAAGGAUAAAGCAAAUGUGAUACAUGCAUGUGUUUGUGUGUACACAUCAGAAUAGUUUUCAGCCUUAAGGAGAGAGGAAAUAUCAAUACAUGCUACAGAACAGAUGAGAUGUGAGAACAUCAUGCUAAGUGGAGCAAACCAGUCAGGAAUGUCAUAUGGUUGGUUCCACCGCUGUGAAGUACCUAGGGUAGUCACAGACAUAGGAUAGCAGCUGGAAUGGUGGGAGAUUGGGUGGGCAACGGGGAAAAACAGGGAAUGAUAUUUUAAUGGGUACAGAGUUUUAGGCAGGAUGCAAAAGUUAUUGUGACCUAAUAUACUUCAUGGUCACUAUAGUCAGCAAUACGGUGUUGUAUACUUGGAAUUUACUGUGACAGUAGAUCCUAAAUAUUCUUACUGUACACAAAGUAAUUAGGUGAGUGAUACAGAUGUUGAUUAGCUUAAUUGCAGUAGUCAUUUCAUAAUUUACACGUGUAUCAAGACAUUACAUUGUGUAAUAUAUGCAACUUUAUUUGUAAAUUCUACCUUAAAGAGCUGGAAAAUAUUGCAAAGCCUCCCCUUCGCCCCUCAGAUGCUCAUACAGGCAAGUCCAUUGGAGCAUGAGGUUUCCUUAGAGGGAGUGUGGGUUUUUGGGAAAAAGAAUGAGGUGUUUUCAGCACUCCCCUCCCCGGGACAGUCAAGGAAUCAGCGCAACUAAAUGAGGACUUAGUUAAUGAUCUUCCAGAGCUUUUGUGUUUUGAAAUGACCCCACAAUAGAAAAAUGGGAAAGAAGGAGCUGGGUAGUUAGACUGGGUUGAACCCCUGGUCCCCUCUCUUUGGAGCCUCUUGGCCUUGGGCAGCUUAGUGAAACAGCCAAGUUCCGGCAGUGCUGCUGGUGCAAGUGAUGUCUCCUGCUGUCUGCCUGUCAUGUGGUGGCGACAUCUUCCUGGCUACAACUGCAGAAGCUGAAGUCCUUUUCAACUGGAAGGAUCAAAGACUCUUCCACUUGAUCAUUAAAAGGAGAAAAAGCCGUAAAGAUUAAUUCGAUGCAAUUAGUUCAGCUUUAACUAUGUCUCAGUGUUUCAUUUAUCUGUAGCCAUGUAUCAAAACAUUCCCCAAACUUAGUGACAUAAAUCAACAGUGUCUUAUUAUUUCUCCUGAUUUUGGGGGUUGCCUGGACUGGACUGGACUGGGCAUUUCUGCUUCACAUGAUUUCUACUGGGGCUGGAGCGCUCCACACAGCUUUUUCAUUUAUGUGUCUGCCAGGAUGGCUGGGCCAGCUAGGAGCUAACCAAGCUCUCUCUCUCUCUCUAGAUAGUGUCUGCAGAGGGUAACUGAACCUUUAGAGGCACAGGGUUCCAGAGUUCCCAGGGUCUGCAAGAGGCUAAGGUGCUUUGCAGGAUUCUGAUUGCAUAGUGCUUGCGAAUGUCACGUUCGCUGAAGGAACUCCAUGCCCAAACCCAGAGUCAGUGGUGAGGAAACCACGCAAGAGCAUGGAUACUGGGAAACAUGUCCACUGGGCACCACCCACGUAACACACUCUGACAGACAGCUCAGGUAUUGAUGAGCGCGAAGCCAUGGUAAGGUGGCAUGGCAAUGUUGACAAUAGAUCUGAGAGUUAGGAUGCAGGUUUUGGUGCUGUACUACUCAGAAAUUGGAGUCUGUGAGCAGAAACAGAAUAACUGGUAUUUAGGAACAUGCAACCCUAGUGGAACUAAGUAGUGCCACAGUGCAUUGCUGCCAAGGGUCCCUGAUCUUUUCUCAACACAGCCCUGGCAUUAGCCAUAGGAAGAAGGUGAAGAUGUAAACCUUUCUGGAAAGAACACCGACAUCAUUCUCGCCUGCAUCCCUGCCUUGGGCCCUUCAUGAGAUUGCAUUUUCUGGCUUGGUCCCAGCCAAACAGACUCAGGUCCAGCAGCCUGGGUCAUGCACCCCCUGCCUCUGCACCCGCUGUCCCAUGCCCUGAUGCGGGUCUGUAGAUUUGCACACCAAAGCAGCUGGAAACUGGACCAGAAAGGAACUUGAUGAAGGUAGUCUACCUGCCCCUCAGUUUCCUAGCAAAUUGCAGCAUUUGGCCUGGUGCUAAUUCCAUAAAGAAUGCACUGGAGCAAUUCGGUGGUAAUACGUGUUUUUUUUUUUUUUUUUACCAUUCACAAUGGCUCAAAGAAGCCACCCUCAUGGUUGGUAGUGUGGAAGCAGGACAGUACUGUGAUAAUUAACAGGAUGAACAUAGUGGAACCGUAGGAUCUUGGACCAAGUCACCCAUCCUAGAACCUUUGAUUUACAUGCAGAGACACUGAGACCCAGAAAAUAACCUUCCCAGGAUUACUGAGUAAGCAAGAACAGAGCUGGCACCGGAGACCAGUGCCCUGUUGUCCUGGACCCUUCUCCUUUCAUACCAGCCAGUGCCAUGGACCACAAGUCCACAGACAACCCCCUGAGGCUGAAACUCCUUGUCCCCAAUUAGACUUGAGAACUACACAGAGAGAAUAAAGUGAGUUUCUUGAUGUCUUUGCUUCUCAAUUCAGUGAAAUAAAUAAUGAAAUAAAAAGAACAAAUUAAAUGAGGAGAUUUUAACAGUCAGAACAGGUUAUGAAAAGUCAGAGAUGGAGAAAGGAAGUAAUAUUCCCCAAGAAUUCUACCGAUGAGUGUUUCUCCUUUCUAUUUAGAUGGAGAAACAGAAUCAAAGAGGCUCACAUUCAACAUGCCUUGGGAAUAAGAGUAGUGACGAUUUCAAAAUACUCAAAUAGCAAUCAUGAAUUAUUGUAAAAUUUAUAAAACUGGGCAUGGAAACCAAUGCUUCAAACAAUCUUAAUUCCAGACAAGUGAUUUGUGAGGUAGAAUGAUUGGACUUGAUGAUAAAGGGAUGAAUGAGAUAUAAAGAAAUAUUUCAUGUUUAAAGAAUAUUUUUUGGGGGGUACCAAGGAUUGAACUCACCACCUUGCUCUUGCCAGACAGGUGCUUAUGCUGCUGAGCUAAAUCCUCAGCCACUCACUGGUCAUCUUGGUAGUCCAGCUCUUUGAGGAAAACCUGCUGCUCCACAUUGGUGCGUGCUGAAACCCCUGAGCCUUCCUUUGUGAUUAGAACAGGCUUGGGUGAGAAGAGCCUUUCAGCAAGCAGCUCACCUGAUUGGUGACUCAGUCAACAAAAGGAAAGGUGGAAGGAUGUGUGUAUUCUCUGCGGUCCUAACUUGCAUCAAGUGCUGGUUUUAUAACAAGUUGGCCCAGAGAACGUUCUGGAAGGUUCCUGGCUUUGGACUUUGGUGUCAGGCCCGUUCCCAGGGCUGCAUAGCCAAGACUGUUGACAAUGAAGAGAGAGUUUCCCUGGAGCUGCAGUUCUAGGUCUUGGCAGUUCCCACCCUACCCUCUGCCUUGAGUUCAGGGAAGAUGGUGUUAAUCCAUGCAAUUGAAAUUCACCUUUUAUAGUGUGUGACUUGUUGGCUUUGGUAUCUUCACUGUGAUGUGAUCUUUGUCACUUUAAUUCUAGGAUUUUCUAUCACUUCACGCCCAUAAGCAGUCAAUCUCAGGUUCCUCCCUCCUGCCCUUCAGGCCUAAAAACUACUGGUCUCCUCUUUAGCUCUCUAUAUCUGCUUUACUUGAGCAUUUUGUAUAGUAGAAUCUUACCAUGUUGUGGCCUUUUGACUGUUUGGUUUCUUUCAUUUACCGUAAUGUUUUCAAUGUUCGUUCAUGCUUUAGCAAGCAUCAGUACUUCGUUCUUUUUUAUGGCCAAGUGAUAUUCCUCACUAUGUUUUGUUUAUUCUGUUGUCUGCCCAUGUAUUCAGAGAGCAUUUUGACACCAGUCUGAGCUGAAUUUGGAAUAUAGACAAUAAAUAAUUUCCUCCACUCCCCAAUGGAGAGCUUAAUGUGACAAACAUUGUGUUUUUAGGAAGUUUACUAUAGUAGGCCUUGGGAGAUCUUAUCUGCAAUGAGGCAGAGAAGGAUGGUGGGAUUUGGAGAAUUGUUCUAUCAAAUAGAAGAGAAAUGUCAGGGCUACCCAAGGAAUCAUGGUGCCCUGAGCACAGCUGGCCCAUCUGAAUCUCUUUACAACUCUCCUCUCCCUGGCCCUGGCCAAGCAGGUGAGUCCCCCUGGGCCUAGAAAGCCAGGAGUGGUUUCACCUUUCAGCUUUGUUGAAGAUCACCUGACCACUCUUUCCAGGAAUGUGUGUGUGCUGCUGAUAAUCGCCUCUUGCACAUCAUCUGCCAACCUCUGUAGAUAAUGAACCAAAUGAGUUAGUUAUCCUGCCUAGCGAUGGCCUGCAUAGUGCAGAUCCCCACUGCUACAUCCCCAGGCUGGCCCCUGUGAGCAGAGGUCCCAGUUGGCUGUCUGGGCCCAGCCGGACUGGGAAGGGAGGCUGCUGGGUCACAGGAUACAGCAGCCCCUCAGAGCUUCAAGGGCUGGGAACGCUGAGGGCAAAGCUACAAAUGAGGCCAGGGAUGAGCUUUCCCAUUGGCAGUUUGGCCCACAGAGACUGAGGCUGCCUCCUUCUGGCAUUGCAGGGAGGUGAGGCAAGGUGAGGGCCGCCCUGAGGGGCGCUGGGGAUGCACAGGAUGCUCAACUCCCUGGGGUCCGGAGCCCCUUCCCAGUCAUGCUCCACAGCCUCUCCUUCCAUCUUCCACCCCGAAUCAUCCAGUGAGGCUUGCACCCCUCUUCUUCCCAGCACAGCCUCCAGCUCCCCUCCUGGACUCACGGACUCCCAGCUGGCUCACCCUUUCCACAUAACCCAGUCCUGCUGGUUCUCAAGGAAAGGGAGAGAAAAGUGAAGAAAGCAGAAACGUGUAGUUGGGCACAUAGGACUGAUCAAGGUGAAGCCAUCAAUACUGAAUAUUAUUCAGAGAAAAACGUGUUAAAUAUACAUGAGUGCAUGCGCACGUGUGCACGCACAUACACACACACACACACACACACACACACACACACACUCCCCAUCUGGUUUCCUAAAAGUUUCCACUCAAGUGUAAAUUCCUCAGGUUAAGAAAUAGCUGCCUAGAGUUGUGUCUGAAAUCUUCUACUUAGGAGCAGAGAAUUCAGUGGCGGAGUGGGCAGGACCCACAGUGUCUUGUAAACAGAGAGGGCACAGCAGUGCCUGUAGGAGACCUGGCUUCCCCCUCUUGAAUCACUGUGACUCUGGGUGAACCAUGGCAUACAUGGCAACAUACAGUAGAUGUGCAAAGAUGUUUGCACACGCAGGUGUCUAUUGGAUAAUCGUGCUACUCUCUAAAAAUUUUGAAGCAAUUUAGAAUAAUAAUGAAACAAAACCAGGCCUAGCGUAGCACAUCUGUAAUUUGAGCCACCUGGGAGGCUGAGCCAGGAGGAUGGCAAAUGGAGUCCAGUCUGGGAAACUGAGCAAGAUCCUAUCUCAAAAUAAAAAAGGAUAGGGAUGUAUAGAUGUAGCUUGGUGUAAAGGUCCUGGGUUGACUCUCUGGUACUAAAAAGAAACCAAAACUAAAAGAUGAAGUAAUGAUAUGAAAGGAACAGAAUUCAUGAAGAGUAUACUAAAGUUAAAAGAUCAAACAGUGCUUAAACAAUCUCUAAUGUGACUGGAGAGGUCAUGUAUUCAUCCGGAGAGGUUCUGGGAUGACGCCCACCUCUGUAAUGGUGAGAAACACUGCCUGGUGGCAGGACCUGUGGCUGCAGCAGCCUCCCUCAGGGACAAAGAAGGGCCCACGUGACAGCUUCUGGGGACAGCAGUGCUCUGGCCACACAAGACAGGUGCGGUGCUGUCCAUCUUCACCCUUACCACUGGCAAUGGACACUCGACAUUUUAUAAAAGCAGUGAUGCUCUGCUCUCCCAGCCAAAUGAGAGAGAGAGAGACAGAGAGAUACAGAGAGAGACACAGAGAGAGAGAGAGAGAGAGAGAGAGAGAGAGAGAGAGAGAGACAGAGAGAGAGAGAGACAGACAGAGAGAGAGAGAGAGAGAGAGAGAGAGAGAGAGAGAGAGAGAGAGAGAGAGAGAAUCUGUUCAAAUGAGUGUUGGGAGCUGAUCGCUUGCCCAUGGAGGCUCUCCUCUGAACCCCAAAGACCUGAGAACUCCACUCUGUCUAGGUAAGUGGACAUCAGGAAGGAAGAAGGAAGGGAGGAAAAAAAAGAAGGAAAGAAGGAAAGGAGGGAAGAACAAGGGAAGGAGGGAGAGGGAGGGAGGCUCUCACUGCAGCUUCCAGGAACCAGAGUGAAAACCAUAGUGAGUGCUUUGAUGCUGAUAAGCUGAGGCUUGCCAGGAUCUGUCACAUGAAGAAAACCUUUCGAUUCCUUCCAUCCCAGCAGAUGCGCUAUGCCAUGUGAAGGGUAGAGAGACAGGACACUGCACCUAUGCAUUUCGGCACUCAGACCACACUGCCUGGGUUCAAAUUCUGGUCCAGCUACUUAUUCACUGGGUGGUGCUGGACAAUUAGUACUUCUGUGCCUCAGUUUUCUAACCGUAGAUCGAGUGUCCAUAUACUGACCUCGGGAUCUUCCUGAGAAUGAAGGGUGUGUGUAGUGUGGAGAACAGCAUUGCAUGCACAGCGCGGUCAUUAACAGUAGAUGAUGGUAGCUUGUGGGCUUCUGUGUGCAUGGUUCCUUGCAGUGCUGGGCUUUGCACAUGCAGCUCCCAGCUAGUGGCCCUCAGGAAGGGUUAUCACCUCAGGACCCUGGGACAGUUGACAGAAUUUCCUACAAGCUGCAAUCAGGGUCCUGUGAUCCUGAGGGGUGGAGCGAGGUGUGUGUGUGUGCAUGCAUGUAUGUGCACAUUUGGGUGUAUAUCUGUUUCUUGUGCUUUUAUGGCUUUGUUCAGGGAAUGCAGACUCUAUGGUGGCAUCCAAUCACAACCUCACUUUACAUGUAUAUAAUGCUGAUGGGCAAACGGCUCCCUAAUCUGUAUGGUCUCUAAGCCCAAAAGACGUUUGGGCUAAGAUUGGGCUUAGCUGGUGCUGAAGGAGGAGACUCUUAUAGUAGAUGGGUGGCUGAGCUCGGGGAAAGGACCCUGGAUCUGCAGGCUGCAGUCAUCUUGUCUGAAGCUCACAGUACUGCUCUCAUGACUGACCAGCCUCCUGGGCAUUGACCAAGUCAUGACAUCAUAGGGUCUCACGUCCAACCCAGCCAGAGGGUGGAGACAGCCCAAACCUGAGCUGGAAAACCCAUCAGUCCUCACUUGUCAGCUCCUGCAGCUCCCUGAUGUCCCUGCCAGUCUGACGGGUAGAGUGAGUGGUCCUUUUUCAACGAUAAGUAUGCCACUGACUUUGUAAGAGUGCACACUCAGCCUGAAGUCCACAAAAGAUAGUGUUUGUGUGGACGUGAGGAGGAAGGAGGAGAGGGGGCAACCAAGUCCUAAGCACCUUUUACCUUUGCUAGGUCUUCACAGUUCCUAAUCCUCUUGGUCCUGAGCAGGUAACCUAGGGCUUAUGAAUACUUGGAUUUUUACAAGUCUACACAGACCAUAGUAUGUCAUCUUGUCAGAAGGAGAAACUGAGGCAAAAGGUUCUAAAGAGCCUGGUUCUAGGAGCUGCCCUCUAGUCACCGAAAUGAGACACAGGGCACAAACUUCCCAGCUUCUUCAUUUGGGAAUCUGGAUCUACAUUUGGUUCUCACCCCCAUAUCUAUGAAAGAGGGGAAAUGGGCAAACAGCCAUUUGAAGCACUUCUCUCUAGGCACAGGUUGACAGAGGGGUAUGGCAGGGGAAAUGUUGAUGGUCUGGUGUCCCCUACUUUGCCAAUACUCCUUUAGACUGUGAUCCAGUGGAGUACUAGAAGUCUGGAGAUUCAGCAGGUUAAAGCCUACAUAGGGACAAGAUGACUCAUGUCUAUAAACCCCACACUCUUGGAGCCUGAGGCAGGAAGAUCGUAAGUUCAAGCCCAACCUGGUCAGUUGAGCAUCUUAGCAAGACUAAGAUUUAAAAAGGGUUGGGGACAUAGCUCAGGGUGAAGACCCUGGGUUCCAUCUCGUUUACCAAAACAAAGGAAGAGAAGACAAAAAAAGAAAAAUGGAGAGAGAGAAAGAGAGAGAGAGAGAGAGACAGAGAGACAGAGAGACAGAGAGACUUAACCCUUAGCCGUGUGGGAAAGAGGGCAGAAGGAGGAGGACUUGCACAGAGACGAGACUGUGAGGUUUGAGCUGGAGGAACAGGAGCGGCUGGUGCUGCCUUGCCUUCCUGCUUCUCUGAUAGCUGUCCUCUUGCUGUGAGGGCAGAGUGUGGGCCACAGGUCAUGGGACACUAGGGGAAGGAGUUGUUCACCUUCCCCCUCACCAUGGCCACUUGGAUUCCCCUCAGUCCUCAGUGACUUCAUCAUCCUUUGUCCUGGGAGUAUCGUCCUUUCUCCUGCCCUGGAAGUGUUUUUCUCUCUGUCCCUUGGGCUGUGAGAAUGGCGAGGUGCCUAGUCCAGGUGAGCAUGUGAAUAUCUGCCUCCAGUUUGGAGUCACCCUGUGUGUGGGUGUGUGAAGCGUGGGGCUCACGGCAGAUCUGAGCACAGGAGUGGAGAGCUUCCAGGAAGGAUGGACCACUCUGAGUCAGCCCUGUGUCCAGAGCCAGAGGACCUUUCAUAGAGAGCCACCGUUGGCCAGUAAUAACCAGCUCAGCUCAUCACCAGCAAGCCGAGCAGAGGCCCCCAGCAAGAGCCCAGGGGGCCCUGUAACCAUAGGCCACUGUUAGAAGUGGGAAAUCCCAGGUGGCCACACUAACGAUGACCAAUGGAGUCUCCCAAAGGUGAAUACAAGUGCUUACCUAAGGGACCAGGGUGGGAAUGGUGGGGGGCACCAAGACCAAUGCUCAUGUUGGACAUUGAGGAAACCAAGCUUCUCAGACUCCCAGGGAAACAGUGGCGGGGGCAGAAACCCUGCUUCUGUGCAUUGGUGCUCCUGAAGACCAGGACUGAGGAAACCCAGGAACAUGCACCAGGGGCUUCAGGAGUAGGAAAUGGAGCCUCACAGAUGGAAGUGUCACUUGUCCACCAGGCCAGCCUUGAUCUCUGGCCUUUCGGGGAUGAGCAGUGGGGAUGCGCAUGCCUCGGAGCUGAGUGAGGGGAAGGCGUGGGGCGGUAGGCAGCAACUGGCUUCUCCAGCGUCUCCCCAUUUGUCUUCUCCAGGUGCUGCUGGGUUGUUGUUUCAAGUCUCCACGAGACCCUCUGAGGCUGUGGGGACCCCCUGCUCCCUACAACAUGAGCUGGUGUUUCCCAAGCUGCCUGCUCCAUGAGCUUGUCUUCAGCCCUUCUGUUAUGCCAUGGACAGAGCAGCACACCCACAGCACAGGAGGGUCCUCCACUGCCUGUGGAGACCCCUGAAGGAUUUCCGUCCAGCCCAUGGGAGAUGAGCUGCUAGCAUGGCACAGAAACUCUCCACGGUUCCUGCUGGCCCAGUGUAAUCACCCAGCACUCUGCUAAUGCCCACCAACCUUUCCAGCCGGGGCUCACAGUAAUUUUUCUCCCAGAACUGCUCUCCUCCCCUGCCCCUCCCACGCCCGGACAUCCUUCAGAUUCAGGCCUCUACUGUCAGCCUCAGGCGAACACCUCUCCUCAAGUUCAGAAGUGCUUGAUGUUAUUCAACAGAUUCUUGUCCAAAGACCAACAAAUGAUAAAAAUCCACGCUCCUUACAACAGCCUUCAAGAGCCUCUGUUAACGAAUUCAACCCUCUCUCCGAUCCCCUGGGGUAACAGGGACUGCCACCCCAGUCUGCUGGCCUUCUUGCUAGCUCAGGGCCUAAGGAGAAAGCUCCAGUGCCCUUUCCUCCAGCCAUGGAACCGUCUUCUGACGUCUAUUCACUGAAGGCUUCUUUCCUCGUCAGCUUCUGCUGACUUCCUGAACUCUUUCUGCCCUUCCAUGGCAUCAGCUUCCAAGGUCAGGAUGAUUUUCUCCAUCCUUAGUGAGGCUCUGAGCUCCCUGGGGCUGAGGGUCACAUGAAGUUUCCCUACAACCCCUCCGCACCUAACUUAGGGCUGUACCCACUGGAGGUACCUGGAGUGUCCAUAUUUAUAGUCGGUAUUUGUGUGCAUUUAAAAAAUCAGAAACCAACAAGCCAUGUGCAAAUCCCAGCUUCUGACCCUGCCACUCCAUGGAGAUUGAUUUGGUUGGCAAAUGCUCACCAAGAGUCCCUGGGGUUGGAGCGUGAGAGCAGUGUCCAGAGUGUGACAGAAUUUGACAUCAAGCAGCACAGCCCUGGGUGUCAGGCCUCACUGUGGUGCAGCGGGCUUUAGGAGAACCUCCUUCCUUCUAGCUCAUGGCCCCCCAUGCUGGCUGACAGCUGCAGACUCUGGCACAGUGAGCCCAGGAUGAGGGUGUGGCACAGAUGGGGAGCACGGCAAGGUGCCUCCCCAGAGGCUUCUGAUGGGAGUCGCUGGACUGGUUGGACAAGGUACAGGCUUUGGUCGGUCAGCUUCAGACCUGCCAUGGGAUCUGCUCUCUCCAGUUGCCAUGAAGUACUUAGGAUUCCUGGGCCUCCAUGUUCUUAUCCAUGAAAUGGGGAUAACCAUACCUACAUUAUGAAAGGAAACUGGCGAGGAGGCCGAGUUUGAUAAUGUAUGUUGACACUGUGUGUAUCGUGUUGUGACUGGCACCCACGAGCAGUAACUGCUUUGUUGUUGUUCUAUUCUGUUUCAGCUGCAAGCAGAACACGAGGUUUCCUCAGAGCAAAGAGCUGAGGUUUGACAAGUCCCUAGCACCCGGGGACUUCUCCUAUAUGACCAGCAGGUGGCGAGCGUGUGCCAGUGGUGGUUUUCAUAGGCCCCUACAGGGCCAGGCCAAGUAAGAUCCUUAUACAUUGGCUCCCGCAGGAGUCAAAGCAUCCAGGCCUGGGGCAGGUUGGACUCGCCAGUGAGUAAGGUCCUCUAUGGCCUCCUCGGGGGCCUUGGUCCCAGGGCCUGGCCCUGGAAAGGUGCUAUGGCAGACAGGCUCCCAGCUGACACCAGGCUUCAUCUCAGGACCUGUAUGGACGUCCACAUUAACUCUACAAGCAACCGAGUUUUAGAUUAAGUUAAAAUGGAAAAUGGAACACAUUGUAAAAGUCCUACUGUGUGGCAAGGGUCAUCACACAGCAAAAGACAUCCUGAUGUGUCUACAAGGGAAGGGACCCUGCUCAUGAAUCAGAGGGCUCUCAGGACCCAGGGCUUGGAUGCAGACCAGAGUAGUGGGGAAGUGAUGAAAGCAGAGGCCCUUGCUGAGCCAUUUUCUGCCCAGAAGCCCGGGAGGGAGGACAGGAUACUGCAGAGAGCCCAGCCUCUGAAACCAGGAUGCUCACAUUACAAUUCGGCUACCUCCCAGGUCUGUGCCUCCAGACAUAUUACUUAGCCUUUUGUUGCCUCCAUUUGUAAGAUGAAGGUAAUAGGAGCACAGAGUGUGCAUACUGUUAUGCAGUGUUUAAAUAAUUUUUGAUGCAUGCACCUGGCACAUACAAAGAGUGGCUAUAAAACAGAUGUGUGUGCUGUUGUUGUCCCCCUGUCAUUUUAGUCUCUCCUUCGGUAAAAGGGACAAAAUCACCUUGUCCUCCUUGAAGAGAUCAGAUGAGCUCUGAAGAAUUCAGAGAAAGAAGCAUUUAGUGUUGACACUGUCUCUUUUUCCUCUCCAGGUCUUCUUUUUCUGGCAAAUGAAGCCAGGUGAGCUCACCUUCCUUGUGUCUGCCACCAUGGCACCAUGCUGUUCAUCCAGUGGCCGUGGAUUGAUGGGGACCAGGUUUCAAGUUUAGCGAUGCAACUCUGGUCAAGGCCCAGUCCCUGACAGGGAGAACACUGCUGGGCUGAGUGCUGGCCUGUGGAUGUGCACACCUGGCCCGCAUGGCUGGUCUCUCAGGUGCCCCUCUGUGAGACCCCAAAACCCAGCCUUGCUCCCAUUUACGUCUUGCUCCUCAGAGCCUCCAGGAUGCGCAUCCCUGGGGUGAGCAGGUGGCUGCUGGAAGGCGCAAGGAGUACAGAGGAAGUUGUGGGACCACCGUCUCAGUGUCCUGUUUCCCUGCCUGCUAUCAUGAGCUUCUGCAAGUAGCUUUGCCAGACAUCCUCAGCAUGAGACUUGAGAAUUUUCUCUGUAGGGUUUUCAGGUUGCUUUCAGCAGCUUGAAGGAGCAAGAUACAAAAGAAAAAACCUGAGCCACUGCUGAAUCUGUUUUCCUCCAUCUCCUGUACCCUAUCUCACCCUCAUCGGGACGCUUAAUUCAUGGGCCACGUCUCCAUGUACUUGUGCUAUGGACUGGCUCCCUGCGACCUUGUGUGUAUCUCCAUCUGUGAUGGAAACAACCUCUCACCAUCGUGCAACUGGGGAGAAGGCCGAGCUAGCUCCAGAGGUCAAAGUCAAGCUCCUGGCUCUGUUCUUGACUGUGUUGGUGACUUGUUAUCCAGCCACAAGUGAGCGCUUCUCAUCCCUGUGUUUUCCUUAGUUCCUCAACUUGCAAGGCUCUCACAGUAGCAGGAGACUGGGGUGUGGCAACAUGGCUGGAGCAGCCCAGUGUGACCUACCAAGGGAGGAGACUUAUCAACCAUGGCGUUGAAUGGCAGCACCCAAGCCUGACACAGAUCAAGCUGAACCCAUUAGCCAGCACCAGCCUCUGGCUUGAGAAUACGUCGAACCUGGCACCUGAUAUCAGUCUUCCUGUUUGGGACCAAGUGGAACCAUCUGAAUCAGCUACCAAGAUGCAGAAGGACAGCAGUCACUGACUUGUGGCCACUGGCCUCUUGCUCCUGCAGCAUCCAUUCUGCAUGCAGAAAUGUCUUCUCUUUUUCCUUCAAAGCACCCUUUUCUCCCUGAGCAAUUCUUUUGUAUUUCUUGUCUUUUUCCUUUCUUUUUUUUUUUAUUUCUGCCCUAAAAUAAAUGUAAUCUUCCAUAUCCA